UCGUGCCACUGCUGCGUUGGUAGAAGAAUGUAGGCACCCACAGCAGGCCUCUGUGUGUCUGGCAGUGGUGCCUAUACUGCUCAGCAGUGUGGAGGUGGGAAAUGGGCAGAGCUGAGGCAGGACAGAAAGAGCCAAGCCUGGGAUGGGGCAGGAGGGGGAUGAUGGAGGCUCCUGUUCCAGGGCUGGCUGCUGAGACCCAUCAUGGGCAAAAUCCCUUCCCAUUCCUGGCCUCAGUUUCCUCCCUGAUAAAAUGAAGAAGUCAGACCCAAUUGUGAGCCCCUAGAUGGCAAAGAUCCUGGAAGGGUCAGCUGUUUCCUUCUCCAGCUCAUUUUGCAGAUUGAUAAACUGAGGCAAGUGGGGUUCAGUGACUUGUCCAGGGUCACACAGCUAGGAAGUGUCUAAGGCCAGGUUUGAACUUAGGAAGAGUCUUCCCAACUCCAGCUCCCAAGUUCUAGCCAUUGCACCCAACUGCUCUAUUAAGUGCCUACUGUGUGUGAACAGUGGCGAUACAGAAGCAAAAAGGAAACAUUCCCUGCCCUCGGGCAGCCUACAUUCUCCCGGGUGCUGGGGGGGCAUCCAAAAGAAUAGGAAUGGAUGGGCUCCCAAGGACCAUGGAGGCAGCUAUGCCGGGCACAGUCCACGGAGCCCUUAAAACUUCAGCGGGCAGCGGGUUGCCAGGCCAGGCCAAUGAGGUCCCAAAUCCCUCUUGGUCACUCCCUGGAGAAAGCCCCGAUGCUGCCUUCGUCCAGGCUCAUCCAGACCUGCAUGUUUUCCAGUUUCCUCACCCCGAUGGGAUGGAAAAAUUCCCCGAGUCCACCACCACCAGCAUGCUGAGACAGCCUUUCCUCCCAGAAUGUCAGUGUAAGUUGAAGCAACUGCCCUCCUUCUACCAGCUCCGCCAGAAGAACCUUGGGCGUAAGAGGACGACGCAGGCUCAUAUGCACUUCAGUAACACCAAUUUCAAUAGCUGGGUGCUUUGGGCACUACCCGAGACAUCACUCUGA
This 1004-nucleotide long non-coding RNA is filed under the name Monodelphis domestica (gray short-tailed opossum). Its description in RNAcentral is "lncRNA (ENSMODG00000033278.2)". The record is from RNAcentral. Lineage: Eukaryota; Metazoa; Chordata; Mammalia; Didelphimorphia; Didelphidae.